AUCGAUGAAGAACGCAGCGAAAUGCGAUAAGUAAUGUGAAUUGCAGAAUUCAGUGAAUCAUCGAAUCUUUGAACGCACAUUGCGCUCCCUGGUAUUCCGGGGAGCAUGCCUGUUCGAGCGUCAUUACAACCCUCAAGCUCUGCUUGGUGUUGGGCCCCGCCGCCCCGGCGGGCCCUAAAGUCAGUGGCGGUGCCGUCCGGCUCCGAGCGUAGUAAUUCUUCUCGCUUUGGAGGCCCGGGCGCGUGCUCGCCAUCAACCCCCAAUUUUUAUCAGGUUGACCUCGGAUCAGGUAGGGAUACCCGCUGAACUUAAGCAUAUCAAUAAGCGGAGGAAAAGAAACCAACAGGGAUUACCUCAGUAACGGCGAGUGAAGCGGUAACAGCUCAAAUUUGAAAUCUGGCCUCACGGUCCGAGUUGUAAUUUGUAGAGGAUGCUUCGAGCAUGGUCUGGCCUAAGUUCCUUGGAACAGGACGUCAUAGAGGGUGAGAAUCCCGUAUGCGGUCAGGUGCCUACGCUCAUGUGAAGCUCCUUCGACGAGUCGAGUUGUUUGGGAAUGCAGCUCAAAAUGGGUGGUAAAUUUCAUCUAAAGCUAAAUAUUGGCCAGAGACCGAUAGCGCACAAGUAGAGUGAUCGAAAGAUGAAAAGCACUUUGGAAAGAGAGUUAAACAGUACGUGAAAUUGUUGAAAGGGAAGCGCUUGCAACCAGACUUGCGCGCGGCCGAUCAUCCGGUGUUCUCACCGGUGCACUCGGCCGUGCUCAGGCCAGCAUCGGUUUUGGCGGCUGGAUAAAGGCCCCAGGAAUGUGGCUCCUCUCGGGGAGUGUUAUAGCCUGGGGUGCAAUGCAGCCUGCUGGGACCGAGGACCGCGCUUCGGCUAGGAUGCUGGCGUAAUGGUUGUAAGCGGCCCGUCUUGAAACACGG
RNAcentral lists this ribosomal RNA (920 nucleotides) under uncultured fungus. RNAcentral describes it as "eukaryotic LSU rRNA". The stretch from base 276 to 920 matches the Rfam family "Eukaryotic large subunit ribosomal RNA", at positions 1 to 664 of the family's 3401-position model. Lineage: Eukaryota; Fungi. The record is from RNAcentral.